UACGAAGGUCCCGAGCGUUAUCCGGAUUUAUUGGGUUUAAAGGGUGCGUAGGCGGGUUAUUAAGUCAGUGGUGAAAGCCUUCAGCUUAACUGAAGAAUUGCCAUUGAUACUGAUGAUCUUGAGUAUGAUUGAGGUGGGCGGAAUGUGUCAUGUAGCGGUGAAAUGCUUAGAUAUGACACAGAACACCGAUUGCGAAGGCAGCUCACUGAGUCAUAACUGACGCUGAUGCACGAAAGCGUGGGGAGCAAACAGG
This 253-nucleotide ribosomal RNA is filed under the name uncultured bacterium. RNAcentral's name for it is "partial 16S ribosomal RNA". It matches the Rfam family "Bacterial small subunit ribosomal RNA", at positions 524 to 776 of the family's 1533-position model. The record is from RNAcentral.